RNAcentral lists this long non-coding RNA (9203 nucleotides) under Gallus gallus (chicken). RNAcentral's name for it is "lncRNA (ENSGALG00010020838.1)". Lineage: Eukaryota; Metazoa; Chordata; Aves; Galliformes; Phasianidae. The record is from RNAcentral.
AAACACUGGGAGCUGCUAAGGAGAGUCCUGGGAGAUGCUUGGGUCAAAGGGAGCUGUGGGGAGCCCCCCAGCCCCCCAAGUCCUUGUGCUUCAUGGGAAGACCCAAAUGCUGAAGGGCUCCCAUGCUGUGCUUCCCCAUGUGCUGGACAUCCUCCCAGUGCGUGAAUUCCCCAGCGUGUGGGUGCGGGAGGGGGGUGGUGCAGAUUGUGCUGAGGGAUGUGGUUAAUGGUAAUGGGUUGGCGGUUGGAUUUGAUUUUCCAUGGUUCUGUGAUUUGCUGCUCCUGUCUGCCUGGCGCAGGAAGAUAAAAGCUGCCGUUGCAAAAACGCUGUGACUUCCAAAGGUGCCCAAAGCACAGCACAUCUUGGUGGAGUGUGCUGCUUGACGAGUCUGGCUUCCUAGCAGUGCUGGGGGUGCCCUCAUCCUGUCCUUCACCAGCAGUUAGAAACCUGCACAGGGGGCAGCAUGCAGAUGGGGGAGUGGUGGUGGUGGAAUCCCCACCUUGAUGCUUGUUGUAUUGCUCUGAUGUGAAGGAUGCUGGUGGGGGCUGCUGGGGCUGUGUGAAUCCAGCCCUGCCUGCUGUGCAGGAAGCAGAGGCAGGCUCCUCUGUGCAAAGCAUCUGCAGCAAUGUCCUUUGCUGACAGUAUGCAUCAAAUCUGAUGUGCCUUGGGGAGAAGAGGUGGGAAAAGGAGAGAGAAGCAGGAGAAGCUGUAGCGGGCAGCUGGAGAAGCGUGGGGCUCCCAGAGCGUGCCCUCCUGUGGGCUGCUGGUCAGGUGCUGCUGGUGAAUAUCACACCUCAAAACACCUCUGCACCUCCCCCCAAACACUUGGCUAUUCCCAAGAUGAGCUCAGGUUCCAUUUUGGAGCAUAUGAUGCUACUAGGGGUGGUUGGAAGGUGCCUAAUUAAGUUUGGCUGUUGUGUAUUAGCUGGUGGUUCAGCUUUGUGCAUGUGUGGUGUUGGACAGCAUUUAUCAUAAUACCUUCUACUGCUUUGUGCAUUUAUUGCGAUGCCUUUCACCCCUUUGUACCCCCCAGGCUGUGGUUGUACUCUAUAACACAGACCCAAAGCUGUGAGGGGAAGGAUCUCGGCCCAGAUCUGCAAUGCAAAAAGGACAGCUGCUAAGUGCUGGUAAAACAAACAUCACAUGUUCCGUGGGGCUCCUACAAGGCAUGGUGAUCUCCUGAACACAGGUCCCUAUGAGCUCCUGGCACGUUUUCAAGUCCAAGCUGAGCAAAUGCAAGAUGACAAGAAGAGUAAGAGCUUGCUUAGCAGGAAGAGGAGCGCUGAGCCUGAGCUGGGGUGGCUGCCCCUGCAGCGCAGUGAUGUAUCACAAAGUCAGGUUCCCCUUUUGGAUGGCCUACAAGGUCAGCAGAAAUGCGAGGGGAUGGAGCUCAGUGCUGGGGUCCGAUCUCCCUGUGCUGGUGCAGCCUUGCCCUGGGCUGGGUCCUGGACCAGCAACUUCCACGUUGGGCAAUCAGAGAACCGUGGGAACAUUAAGGUUGGAAAAGACCUCUCUGCAUCUCAGCACACCCCACCAUUUCCACUGCCCACACCCCUCAGUGCCACAUCCCCGCAGCUCUGCAAUGCCUCCACAGAUGGUGAUCCCACCACUCCCUGGGCAGCUGUGCCAAUGCAGAACUGCAGUUCCUAAUACCCAACCUGAGAUGCAGGGCUUGAUACCAGCUGCUGCUGGCUUCCUGGCUUUGCUUACAGCUGUCCCAGUGCAGCUCCACCUCUCCUUCAAACCCACUGUGAUGGACAGCAGGCGCUAUGGGUAGGACAUCAAACCCCACCGAGGCCUACUGGGAGCUGCGGGUGUGAGAAAAGGAGAGCUGCGUGGGAGCUGCUGCUUCUGCUGGUUUGGCUCAGGUGGGUGGAAGGGAAGGGGAGAGCACAUCUGGGGGCAGCAAUGGGGCUUUUUCUUGAUGCAGUGUCUGCCCUUGUUCCGAAUCGCUGCAUUGUGUGUUCCCUUUAAAAACAAGGGCGAUGCUGCACGCUUCCUUGCUUUCAAAGAAAGGGUUUGCUCAUGCUGAAGUCCUCACUGAACACAGUGCUGUGCUCUGUGAUACCUGGAAAGCACCCAGUCACCGCACCCAGGAGCCGUGGGUGUGAGCAGGGUGUGUUUGUGCGAGGGGUGAUCCUGGUGUCAGGAUGGGACCCCGCUUUGUCAGGGUGUGCUCUGCCCCUGGGAGCAGCAGAUCAGCGCUGGGGGCUGAGUGAGGAUGUGGUGUUUGGAUCACUGCAUGGGAAACCAGUCUGCAGAGCAGGGGAGGCUGAUUUGAAGUAACUUUUAUGGCUGGGCUGUUGAUAUUUCUGCAUAAAUAGUGAAAAGCAUUCCGAGGGGGUGGCUGACGGUGUGCCAUACCCAUGGUGCCAUAGCCAGGGGUGCUGGGGUGCAGGAUGCAGUGCUGGCAGUAGCAGGUUGCUUAGUGAAGCAGUACUGAUUUAAAAGGACAAAAAAAAAAAAAAGAGAGAUGGUUGCACUGGGAAGCUAUGAGCAGAUUGGAUAUCACACCACUAUGUGGCAUGGCUGAUUUGUGGCAGUGGCAGCAGGAUGCUCCUCCUGCAGCAAGAGCAUCCUGGGGCUCGUUGGCACCAGGCCCUGGUGUAGGUGUUCUCCCCAUUGCAUCCUCCUGCAUGGGAUGGUGUCCCCUCUUCCCUUGUCCUUGGUCCUGGUGAACCCCGCCCCAGGCAGGAGCUGGCGUGCAGCAUCCAUUACCUUGGUCUGUGCAAUCAAAAGCCAUUUAUAGUAAAUGUGUUUGCUUUGUACUGAAUUACUCACAAUGCUGCCAAGUACAACCACACCAGCUGUUAAUUAGAGUUUAGCUUUUAUUACCAAAAAGUCUGCUCUGUUGAUAUGGAAAAUGGGAAUAAAAAGUCAUUUAACCUAUUGUGAUGUGAAAAUAAACGAUGACUUGUUGGUUUAAUUAAAUAGUCUAUUUAUCUAGCCGUCAAAGUGUUUGAACAUACACGGGAUUACGAGCGGCGCUAUCCUGCCUUGUCUCCUGUUGUCUGCAUAAUCCUGUUGUUGGAAGGGAGUCACCUGCUGCAUGCCCCAUUGAGCCCGAUGCUCCUCCAGCAGAGAAGUCACAUGCAUUUCUGCACAUCCCUUCCUACUCUUCCCAUCCAACAAGGAGACAUCACCUCCUUUCAUAGAGUCAUAGAAUGGCUUGGGUUGGAAGGGACCCCAAGGUUCACCGAGGUCCAACCCCUUCCCACAGGCAGGGCCACCAACCUGCAGAUCUCGCACUAGCCCAGGUUGCCCAGGGCCUCAUCCAACCUGGUCUUUUCCAUGUGCUCACAUUCUGUGCUUCCUUGAAGUGCAUCCCUUGGGCUCAUUCAGGAAUUUUUCUGCACGUUCCAUAGCAGAAGGAAUCUUAGGACUUCCAGAAACCUGUGUGCUCCUCAAUGCCUUCCUCCCUUCAUUGAGAUGGUGGUGAAAAGGGAGGUUCUCCAUGCUCACAUCUGACAUUCUCUGUGUUUUGUGCCAUUUCUUUGUCCCUAACAGCUCUGUCUUGAGUGGCGCGUGGAUUUCCAAGAAGAACUGGAGAGCCUGCAGAUGGGUGGUGGAGCCAACAGAUCUCAUCUGCGUGGGUUGCCGGACGGUGGGGCUCAAAGGACAGGCGUGGGGAGCAGGUUUGGUCAAAAGGUCCCUUUGGUUGAACGGUUCACUUGGCUCACCUGGUUGGAUGCCAGUCUCUCCUCGGUGUUCCUAACAGGUGUGGGCGCUGCUGCUGUUUGCUCCUGGCCGCGGUGCAGGACACGCGCGCUGUGUCUCCGCCGGAGCGCUGAACUUGUCGGCGCUGUUUACUUACGCGUUCGCACUGUUUGUGCAGCCAGAAGUCUCAAUCUCAUAUUUAUCUCCUCUUAAAGCAGCUACAGUUUAUACUUUAAACACAUUAAUCAUUUCCAAGCCUUUAAAGGGCUUUUAAGUGGAGACACUGGUUAUGUUUGCCUUUUAUUUAAAGUCUCCCUUCCGAAUCGGGAGGCAAAGUGCUUCAAAGGACGCUGAAGGAGCGUGCUCUCAGAUGAACUGCAACGAGUAAGCCUCCCCCGUGCAAAAAAUAGAGCCAAAAAAGCCCUGUGCUUCAGAGGGCACCUCCAUGCCUGGCUGGGUGAGCGUGCUUUUUGGGCUGUCCUUGGCCAAGGGUUCCUUUUGGAGGAUAUGGGACUCUCCCGGGUGCACAUCUCCUUUGUAGGCAGUGGUUUGCUCCCUGCAGCCCAUGGUUGGGGCUCUGUGGUCCCCAGAUCUCAUGAAUCAAUCCUGAGGUCUUUCAGCUCCAGCUUAGCAGUGGCAGAGCACGACCCAUAGAAGGGUUCUAAGACCCACAUCCCCUGCACAGCGCAGUAUGUGCUGCUCCCAGCUGCAUCAGCACUGCUUCUGGCUCUAGGUUUUGAGCUCUAAACCCAUCCUGGUGUUCUCAGGAGGAGGUGCUGUCUCCUGCUUGGGUCACCAAAGCAGCCCAUUGGGGAUACAGCACUCAGGAAAGCCUUUGGUAAAUACUGGCACACUUGUUUAUUGGAUGGGGAGGAAGCCCUACCAGAGUUAGGAACGCUUGCACAGUGUCUGUUUUACAUAGGUAUGAUAACCACUGCGAGGCACUGCUGCUUGGGACUGGAGGUCAGGCAUGCACAGCCUCUCCUUAGUGAGGGCUUGGGACCUCAGAUGUGCAUCCUGCUAGAAUACAUGGUGCGAAGCGGGUGGCACCCAUAAUGGCUCACAGCCAUCUGCUGGGGGUGUAAAUAAAGCAGUGAUUGGACUGGUGAAGGAUUCUUAACAAAGGUGUUGCUGCUGGCUUUUGGUGGACGGAGGUUUUUGCUCCCGGGGCAUCUCCACACCUGGCUGCUGAGAUGUGCUUUGCUUGGAGUCUGGUCCUCCAGACGCCUUAUUUUCUUCUUUUCCCAUGAAACCAUGGGGAACAAGUGAGCUGGAGGUUAAAUAUCAGACCUGCAGCUCCAAGUCCUCCUCCAGGCUGUGCAAUGAGGUGGUGGGAGUCUUGCUUACAUUGCAUUAGUGGCAGAGAAAAUCCUUUGGGUUGGAGCAGCUUCUGCUAGGAUAAGGAGAAAUGGUUUUCUUGGGAGAAAAUUUGGCUUUUUUUCUUUUCUUUUUUCUUUAUUAAAGGGCAGGAUAAGACUGAAGAUUCCCGUUGGCACUGUGUGCUCAGCACCAGGCACUGAGCAGAGCCCAUUGCAUUCAUCUUCGCGCCCCUUGGCCUCCGCGCUCCUCCGCCUCCGUAAUUGUAACAAAUGCUUUUUCCAUAAGAUGUCAGUGUGGCACAGGAGUUUGGAUGCUUGUUUGUUAGUUGUGAGUAAUCCAUCACGGGAAGUGAGGGAAAGCCAUCUUCUGGGCCAUCCCCAAGUGUCAGCUCGUUUAGGGCUUGUGGCAUUAAUAUUUCCAUGGGUGGAGGAAUGGCCACGCUGAUCCCAUACCAUGAAAGGACGGCUGCUCGCCUUCAGCGAGGUCAGGAAAUGCUGAGGAACCAGAAAUGAGCACCAGAUGCUCCCAGCUGCCCGGUUCGUGCUCUCCCUGUUCGGCACUUCCACCCGACCAAUUCAGGUGUCCCCAGAAUUGAAUCUCGAACACCGUUUCCACCCUUUGGUGCAUUUGAAACAACAAUCUGGAAAACGCGUUGGUGUUUUAAUAGUGUUUUUGGGUAACCCUCUUGUACCUCAGGUAUAGCCAAAACAAGGAACAAAACCCCUCAGGGCUGUGGAACCCCCAAAUGCUGAUGGGGAGGCUCCUGCUGAUCUCGUUGGGAGCUGGACCAAUGCCCGGUGGCAGACAAAGGCUGUGUGAGCAGGGAGUGCUCACCCUGGCCCUGCUCUUCCCAUGGUGUUGGGGCCCAGGGUAUGUAUUUCCCCCCUGGCAAUGGGCAGACUUGGAUGGGUUGGAUGUUGCGCAGCUCUCUCCCUUCUCUGGUUUCAGCUCGGUUGUUAAACCCAGUAAUAUGCGCAAUAAUCUGCCUGUCUGGGAUUAAUAUAACGUUAUAUGUUUCUUGAAAGCCUUUCUGAUCCCGCAGUUAAUUUAAUCUUUUAUUAACAUUAACGAGCUCAUGUGGUGUCCAGCAAGCCUGGGGAGAAUGCUUUCCAAUACCAACAGAUGACAAAGAGAUGAAAAUAUAAUAGCAGAUGAAUUCCUCCUUCACCGCAAAGGCAGCGAGGAGGGCAGAGCAGAGCUGAGCCUCCUGCUCAGCAGAGCACGUACCGCUCGCUAACGUGAGCUGCCAGGAAGCAGCGCUCGUUGUUGAGGCUUUGAAAUGGCAAAGGCAGAGAUUACUGGGAGGCGUAUCUCUGGCCGAGGAGCAGGGCGCACUUAGCAGCUAUCGGCGCCCAAGUGCCAAAAGGAAAACGUUAACCUCCCUGGUGCCAAAGAGGCUCUGCGGAUCCAUUCUUUGGCCUCAGUGCAACGUUAUAAAACAGAAAUAAUGGCAGUCUGGAAAACGGCCAUUUCGCUGCUAGGAAUUUCUGCUUUAUGCACUUGCCAGGUUCCUACCUCGGGUCGCGGGAGUUGAAGCACGGGGCAGCAGAGUGCCCACCCCCAUGCAGUGCCAGGAGCUCCCAUAUCCCCCCCAGUGACUCAAGCAGGUGAUGCCCGUCCUGCCCUGGGCUGUUCCUUUGGGCUGUGCUUUGGCAGCGGUGCCGUGGGCUCUGCCCGGGUUGGUGCUGGAGGAUCAGAGGUGAUGGAGGUUGCGUGGCCGCUGCUCGUGCCGGGCUGCCUUGGCGCAUCACCCAAGAGCCACGGCCAGACCUGGAGGGAUCCAGAAGUUUCAUUAAUUUCCAAUUGAGCUGGAGCCGGCGUGGGUUGGUCUUCUUGCUAGAACAAAGUUGUUCUGCACACCCAACAGCACCGGCAUUGGAUCCAGAUGGGAGCAGCUCUGCUCCAGCAGGCAGAGGGAACCCAUUAGGAGUGUGCUCCAUUCCAAGGAAUUCCUCUCCAAUUUCCUUCCCAAUUAUCCUGCUUAUCCACACACAUGAACCCUCCCUGCUCUGAUGCUGCUUUAUCUCCUGAACGGAUGGAUUUUCUUUUCCCUUUGUGCUGUUGUGGGGCCACGUCAUGGCAGGAGGGGCUGCUGGGUGCAAGGAGAGGGGGUGUCCCCUGAGGCUGCUUGGUCUUUAAUAUGUAAAGCAGAGACCUGCCAAAAUGCAGUGCCAAGAUCACACGAGGUGCUUGCUCUUAGCAGGAGGCUUUCAUGGAAGCAUUAAGGGUUGGGAAAGACCUCUGAGAUCUCCAACCCACCCCACUGUGCCCACUGGUCAUGUGUACAAGUGUCAUAUCCCCAUGGUUCUUGAACUCCCCCAGGUGUGGGGACACCGCUGUGCCCUGGGCAGCCUGUGCUGGAGCAGCACUGCUCUUUCAGAGGAGAAAUCUAUCGGGCGUAGGGAUUACCUUUUGCAUGCCACCAGCCCUGCUUCUGCACACUGCCCAGGAAUGAGCACCAUAAGUGAUGGACGUGGGGUGGGUGCACUGCUUUGCACACCAGUGUGGGCUGUAAGGGCAGAAAAGUAGCAUAAAAAUGAGCUUGUUGUAAAGAGGAGGGAGAACGGGGUUUGACUGGCUCAAGUGAGGAGAAAUUAGUGAUGGAGUUGGAGUUUUCUGAGCCGCAAGCUGCAGUUUACUUUAAAUUUUAGGAAAGUGUGGUCUCCGCUGAGGUCUGCGCUGUGGUGAACAUGGUGCUGCUUUCCAAGCCUCAACGGUUUUGCUGGGCUAAUAAAAGUGGUCAGAGGAGGAGGGAAAGAUGUGGUGGAAUCUGGGCACGGGGGAGGCAGGACCUGAGCUGGAACUCCCCAUCUGGGGCUGUUCAGCUCUCCAUAAAGCAAAGCGAAAGGCAGCUCAUGGGCCAAUGCACGGGCAGGGUGCAGAGCUGCCAAAGUUGCUGUAAGUUGUGCAGACUGGGGCUGGCAGGCCCAGGUCCAUCAGUCCCCAGAUGGUUUCCCACCAUUUUUUUUUUACAAUCUUUUGGCUCUGGGUCAAGUUUUAAUUUGGUUUUUGCUUUGAGCAAAGGUGCACCGCUGUGUGCUCGGGGAGGUGCAAACGGAGGGCGAGCUGCGAAGCGAAGGUGGAGGGGGUGGAAAAAAAAAUCACAGCCUGGGAAAAAUGGGCUUUGCAUAUAUUUGGGGAGGUUGCUAAUUAGUGCAGAGAGUCACCACACCAGGGAACGCUGUGUAAAAGGUAAAGCUCGGCCGUGCUCAGAAGCGAGACGGUGUGGGAAUACUAAUGAGAGCUGCUCAGCUUCACCUGAAUGCAAACCCGUGCAGGAAUUCAGGGUUUAGUGCUGCAAAGCACCACUGAGCAGGUGGGGGAGGCUGCGGCUGCACCAGGGUUUGCUGGGGACCCCAGCACUCUGCUCCUGGCUCUGGCAUUGGCAGCGCCUGCUCCUGCCUGCUUUGGGAUGGAUGGGUGGAUGGGAACUGUGCUUUGUGGUGGGCGCGGUGGUCCCAUAUGGGAACCUCACGUGUAGGCUGUGCAAAAAGCUGUGCGCAAGUUCAGCUUCUGAGCUAUGGCGUCAUGUUUUAGUUUUGGCUUUAAAGCAGGCUUCAUCCCAGCAUUUCUCACAUGUCCACCGUUUGCGUUGGCUGAUGAGUUCUGUGCACGUGAGCGCUUGGGCUUUAGCUGAUGCCUUUCCUGCUCUCCCAAAGAGCAGCGCUGAGCUGUGCUUGCAGCUUGCUUUGCAGUUGCAGUGCAUGAGAGAUUUGGUGCCUACAGCACUGGGGUUGGGGGGAAAUGUUUUGUGUAUCCUUGCAGGAGGCUUCUCCUCCCCAAACCCAUCUUCAGCAUAAAACUGCUCAGAAGUGCCUUUCCAAUCAGCAGCGUAAUCGCUCUUGCUCAGCAAGCUGUGUCUUUAUGCACUCUAACACGUGCCCCCUUACGUCUUUGUGUUCAAUGGGCACUUGGCAUCUCCUGCUACGUCUAACCUCCAUCUAACCUCCUAAGGUUAGGCUGCCUGCAGAGAGACGACUCCUCCGUGAACAUCAGCUGGAAGUUUUUAUGGUGCUGUUGAGAAAUAUACCUACACAAGGCAUUGGUUUACGUCUGGGGGACGUAGGAGCAGAAAGGCCUCCAGACACACAGCAAUGGAACCAUCAGCCGUUACUGUGAAGGUGUUAUUUCUCUCUCCUCCUCUUUAACGCGGGGCUGGGGGAUCCUAUCCAGGUAAACACAGCACUCAGCUGCCUGUUUGGCACACUGGGUGGGGGCAAAGCCAC